AGAGUUUGAUCAUGGCUCAGAUUGAACGCUGGCGGCAUGCUUUACACAUGCAAGUCGAGCGGCAGCGCGGGGCAACCUGGCGGCGAGCGGCGAACGGGUGAGUAAUAGAUAGGAACGUAUCCGGGAGUGGGGGAUAACUAGCCGAAAGGUUAGCUAAUACCGCAUAUUCUCCGAGGAGGAAAGCGGGGGACUCGUAAGAGCCUCGCGCUCGCGGAGUGGCCUAUCUCCGAUUAGCUAGUUGGUGAGGUAAAGGCUCACCAAGGCGACGAUCGGUAGCUGGUCUGAGAGGAUGAUCAGCCACACUGGGACUGAGACACGGCCCAGACUCCUACGGGAGGCAGCAGUGGGGAAUUUUGGACAAUGGGGGCAACCCUGAUCCAGCCAUGCCGCGUGCGGGAAGAAGGCCUUCGGGUUGUAAACCGCUUUUAUUCGGAAAGAAGGAGUGGAGGUUAAUACCUUCCAUGACAGACGGUACCGGAUGAAUAAGCACCGGCUAACUACGUGCCAGCAGCCGCGGUAAUACGUAGGGUGCGAGCGUUAAUCGGAAUUACUGGGCGUAAAGCGUGCGCAGGCGGUUCUGAAAGUCAGCUGUGAAAGCCCCGGGCUUAACCUGGGAAUGGCGGUUGAAACUACAGGACUAGAAUCUGGCAGAGGGGGGUGGAAUUCCACGUAGCAGUGAAAUGCGUAGAGAUGUGGAGGAACACCGAUGGCGAAGGCAGCCCCCUGGGCUGAGAUUGACGCUCAGGCACGAAAGCGUGGGGAGCAAACAGGAUUAGAUACCCUAGUAGUCC
RNAcentral lists this ribosomal RNA (791 nucleotides) under uncultured bacterium. RNAcentral describes it as "bacterial SSU rRNA". It matches the Rfam family "Bacterial small subunit ribosomal RNA", at positions 8 to 796 of the family's 1533-position model. The record is from RNAcentral.